GCGCAGCAGGCGCGAAACCUCCGCAAUGCGGGAAACCGCGACGGGGGACCCCGAGUGCCGUGGCAACGCCACGGCUUUUCCGGAGUGUAAAAAGCUCCGGGAAUAAGGGCUGGGCAAGGCCGGUGGCGAGCCGCCGCGGUAAUACCGGCGGCCCGGAGUGGUGGCCGCUAUUAUUGGGCCUAAAGCGUCCGUAGCCGGGCCCGUAAGUCCCUGGCGAAAUCCCACGGCUCAACCGUGGGGCUUGCUGGGGAUACUGCGGGUCUUGGGACC
This 270-nucleotide ribosomal RNA is filed under the name uncultured microorganism. Its description in RNAcentral is "partial 16S ribosomal RNA". It matches the Rfam family "Archaeal small subunit ribosomal RNA", at positions 330 to 600 of the family's 1478-position model. The record is from RNAcentral.